Molecule: unclassified non-coding RNA, 252 nt
Filed under: plant metagenome
Description: partial contains small subunit ribosomal RNA, internal transcribed spacer 1, and 5.8S ribosomal RNA
Rfam family: Eukaryotic small subunit ribosomal RNA (bases 1-55)
Source: RNAcentral
GGAAAGUAAAAGUCGUAACAAGGUCUCCGUAGGUGAACCUGCGGAGGGAUCAUUACAGAGUUCAUGCCCUACCGGGUAGAUCUCCCACCCUAUGUUAUUAUUACUUUGUUGCUUUGGCGGGCCGUUAGGCUCCGGCCCGACUACCGGCCCCGGCUGGUAAGCGCCCGCCAGAGGACCCAAAACCCUGAAUAUUAGUGUCGUCUGAGUACUAUAUAAUAGUUAAAACUUUCAACAACGGAUCUCUUGGUUCUG